RNAcentral lists this long non-coding RNA (6939 nucleotides) under Prunus persica (peach). RNAcentral's name for it is "long non-coding RNA (PPER_LNC008401)". The record is from RNAcentral. Lineage: Eukaryota; Viridiplantae; Streptophyta; Magnoliopsida; Rosales; Rosaceae.
UUUGGUGAGUUUCCUUUUUUUUUUCCCCUUAAAAAAGUAAGUUCUUCUUUUCUGUUCUUCUUUUCUGUUCUUCUUUUCUUUUCUUCUUUCAGGUGAACUAUUUUUUUUUUUUUUUCUUGUUCUUUUUCUAAAGGAUAAGAUGGAAACAAGAAGUAACGAGGUAGAACAUUAUUGGGUGUCUUGAGUAAUAUGUCUUUUGUUUUUCCUUCAGUUGUGUCUGUUUUUCCUCAUGACUUAGUUGGCCUCCUUUCUCCUAUGCGUCUAUAUGCUAUUGUUUAAACCUGUCUUCUGGUCCUAAUCCCCUUUGUUCACUAAAAUAACUGAUAAGGAAAAUCACCAUACUCUAGUUUUUGGUGUCACACGUUUCAAAUUUAGCCAUAUUCUUUUUUAUAAGAAUUCACUCUUUUUUUUCUUUUCUUUUUUUCUAAUGAACAAUCUCAUGUUAUAAUGUGCGUUUAUUUAUUAAUAUUAUAUCAUCGGAUGCAAUGGAUUUUUAACUCAAAUAGUUAAGAGGUCCUAAGUUCGAUUCCACCCUCCCUCAAUAUGACUUGUAUAAAAAAUAAAAAUAAAAAUUAUAUCAUCAGAUAUAAAUUUGUUGUCCACUUACAUCAAUUUCUAAUGUUACAGUGACCAAAAAAAAAAAACUUUCUUCAAUUUUUUAUUAUCUUAAUGGUUUUUUGAGUUACUUGUGUCUCUACUAGUGAACUGUUACUUUUUUUUCUUUUUCUUUUUUAUAGAAAUAUUGGCUCCAAAAUCUCUGCCCUCGUCAAAGCUAUUGCACAUCUUCAGUUUUGGCGACCAAUCUAUUUCGUCGCCCAUUCUGAAAAUAACCAAACCAGCUAACAUAUGCGACAAAUAAACUACAUCUUUCACGACCAUAACAUUCAUCGCUGAAAUGUUCAGGCGACCAAACAUUUAUUUCGUCGCCAAAUAAUUUCAUGUUUGCGGGAAUUUUUGGUAUUUUGGCAGCAACUCACUCUCAAUGGCAACCAACUUGGAGCUGUGUAGUGAAGACAAAUUUAGUCGCUAAAAUAUUUUCAGCGACAAAAUUUUGUUUCGUCGCAUGGUAUCUUUAGCCCCGAGCUUUCAACGAUGACCUUAGAGACCAAAAAUAUUCGUCGCUACUUAUAUUUGGCGAUUAAAUUUGGUGUUAUAGUGACCAUCUUGUUUCGUCACUAAAAGGGAUUAUCCUUGUAGUGCUUCUUUCUUUCUAGAAGCUGAUAAAUAGACUCUGUGCCUUCUAAAAUCAAAUUAUCAUGGGAUAUUUCAUUAGUGUUAUGAAUUUUAGGAAAAGAUGUUACUUGAAUGACUUUCUCAGCAGGUGAUUGGUGGGGGCAAAAACUCAUAAAACGGUUCAAUUUCCUCCUCCUGAGUUUGACAGCGUGGAGAUAACUAAUUAUUUUCCUCUGGCGACCAGUCGCUGUCUAUUGGCAAUCGGUCGCUGUCUAUUGGCGACCGGUCAUUUUGAAGCAUGUUUUCCGUGUUUGAAGAACUAAGGGGGGGACCGGUCGCUUUCCACUGGCGACUAGUCGUUUUGAAGCUGAGUGACAUCCUGUGGAAAAAAAUCAAAAAUUUGAGGAGGGGUGGAUUCUCGAUUCUCCUCUUGUGCCGCUGAAAAAUAUAAGACAUGUUCCCGAAACACAACAUCCAUAGAGGUAUAGACCUUCUAACUAGGAGGAUGAUAACACCUGUAUCUUUUCUUAUGAGUGCAUAGCCAAUGAAACCACACUUUUCAGCUCGGUGAUCCAAUUUGCUUCGUUGGUGAUCAUGUAAGUGGACAAAUACAACAUAGCCGAAAUUCGGGGUUCCAGGUUUGGGGUGGGAGGUAUUUGGAUAUGGUAGUGUUUGAAGUGGCGUUUGAAAAUUUAGGAUACUAAAGGGAAUUCGAUUGAUAAGGUAUGCUACAGAGACGAUGGCUUCGCCCCAAAAAGAUCGUGGCAUAUUGGCACCGAAGAAAGAGGCACGAACUACUUCUAAUAAUUGUAUGUUCUUUCUUUCAACCACUUCAUUCUGUUGAGGAGUGUAAGGGCAUGAGCGUUGAUGUAUGAUGCCAUGAUCUUGUAAGAACUGGUUAAGAGCAUGGUUGAGAAAUUCUCCGCCAUUUUCAUAAAGAACAUGAAUUAUGGCAUGAAACUGAGUCUCCACCAUUUGAUGGAACCGUUGAAACUUAGAACUGACUUCCCUUUUAGUUUUGAGAAUGGAAACCUAAGUCAUGCUUGUGCAAUCAUCUACAAACGUAACAAACCAUCGAGCUCCUGCCGAGGUGGCAAUUUUAGCAGGUCCAUAAACAUCAGAAUGAACAAGAGAAAAUGGAAUUAAACUCUUGUUUGAACUUAAUAGGAACGGGAACACGAUGGCUCUUAGCCAAUUCACAAGUAUCACACUGGAAGCUAGAAACAUCAAGACUGUAAAAUAAUGAUGGAAACAACUUCUUAUGAUAACCGAACAAGACAUGCACAAGAUGUUUAUGCCAUAACCAAACUUUACCUACCUCCCCUUCAGAACAAGUUCCACGUGUUGUGAAAGCUUGACCAACCUUGGUCUUAACAUACGGUGCCAGUCUAAGUUGUAGAGUUUGCCCCGCCGAGUACCACAACUAAUCGUCUUUCCCAUGAGGACGUCCUGAAAAACACAAUGAUUCGCCAACAUGUUACAAUACACCACAAAGUAGUAGGAAGUUGUGCAACAGACAACAAGUUAUGGUCCAAAGAUGGAACAAUCAAUACAGAAUUCAGAUAUAGGGAAGUAGAGAGAGAUAGAGAGCCCUCCUCAACCACAGGGGAGGGGGUACCAUUAGCAUCAUCCACCAAGUUGGCCAGGAUCAAAUGUCAUGUGAUUCGUACCCGAGUUUGCGGAUUUUUUAGAGGACGUAUGAAAACUAGAACCUUUGGUGGUGCGAUAGAAGCACGAGUCCUAGUAGCCGAGUCAGUAGGAGUGACCGCAUGCUUCUGUGAGUCUGCAAUAAGGGAGAAAAUAGUAGGGCGUCCUAACAUCACAGUGGAAGUAAUAUGUGAUAUGAGUAUGUGAGGAAUUUGAUUGGAGGAAUUUGAUGUGUGAUUUUGAUGUAGAAAUUGGAUUUGAGAGGUAUGUGUUUAGGGAUUUUGAUAAGAGGAUUUGAGGACUUUGGAUUUGAGGGAUUUGGAUUUCGAGAAUUUAAAUAUGAGGAAUUUGAUUUAGGGUUUUGGAUUUAAAUAUGAGAAAUUUGAUGUAAGGGUUUAGAGACAACUUAUGAUCGAUUGCUCUGAUACCAUGCUAAAAUAUAAAUAUGGUUUGAAUACUUUACGUUAAGUUUUAUUCUUCUCCGUAAAGAGGUAUAUAUAAGAGUUUACAUGAGUGCUUUACAAGAAAUAGAUACAAUAAUCAAGUAGAAUACUAUCUCGUAAUUAUACAAUCAUUUGUCAAUUAUAUAAAAUAAAAAAGUAAAUCCCUUAUUUAAUCAAGGAAAUAAAUCUCCUUGAUUAAUUAACAGAUUCGUGUCAACAAAGACUGUGGUGCUACCCUUCUAGUAGAAAUUUUUUAUAUAUUUCUAUAAAAUUUGGUCUCGUUUCAAACAAAAAAAAUAAAAGGGUAGAUUUCUUUCCAAAGGUAAGAACUUUUUUUAAUUUUUUUUAAUCCAAGAUGUAAAAAAAAAAAACUCCGUUCAUGAAAUUUGAAUCAGGAAGUCUUUAACAAGUAAAAAUUAUACAAGCGAUUGUCUAAAUUAAUCUACUCUACGAAAAAGAAACAUCAACAAGGAAAGUGACAAUGACACAUUAGCAUAAUACCACGGAAUGAGCAUACAAUGAGUUAUAAGUACUAAACUUUCUUAGCGCUGAAUUUUUUUUAAUUUUUCUCAAUAGAGAGGUGGAGUUAGGAUUUUAUGUGUGGAGGGGAGGGGUCAAUAUAUUAGGAUUUAAAGUUGAUUUCUUUCCCAGUGUUAAGCUUGUAAAUAAAUAAAUAACAGAUUAUCUUUAAUUUCCUAUUUUCUUAAAUAUACUUGUGAAAGAAAGAUUUGAUUUGCUGUUUCUUUUAAUUUUUAUUAAUUAUGUUGGUAGAAUCUAGGAGUAAGUUUGCCAUAUUGCUAAGAAAAGAGUCUUUUAGUUGGAGGGGGAAAUGUAAAUCCCUCUUUCUCUUUAUUGUGGGGGGCCACAAGCAUUAAUUUAAUAUAUAUAUUAUCCUAAGUUGUAUAAUACAAAGACAAUAUAUAUACUAUUUUAGAAUUUUGGGAGGGCAAGGCCCUUGCAGGCCUAAGCACACCUCCACCCCUGGAGAACAAUACAUUCUUUGAGAGUAAAAACGAACAUAAGAGCUAGAAAGGGUCAUCACAUCAAUAGUACAUUUGUUCACCACAUGAUGUUUUACAAAAGAGAGACCCCCACCUUCACGUGAACUCCACCCAAACAUUAUUUAGUCCAAAAUACUACUUUAAUAUCAACCAACAACAUCCAAUCUGUUCCAAGUUCCAGUCCACCAUCUCAACUUCAUCAGCUUGAUCAAAUGCCUUCCAAUUCUAGUAGGGACGCUCGUCCUCAUAAUUACCAGGAGGGUCGUAGCUGCAAAUGACAAAAACCCAAUUGUUGUCACACUUAGCCCUAGCACAACCAAGAUGAACCGAGUUCCUCCAAACCACCCGAGUAUAAUGCCCACAUUCAUCCCCAACACAUUUGUUGGAGCCGUAGUUAGCAGCUGGAUUUUUUUCCAUGUCACCCAAAAUGUGUUGUCCACGUGUUAGGCUUGAAAAUUCGUCACACGAGUGGGGGUAGAGGUGGGCACUGUUCGGUUUGGACCGAUUUUUGCCUCAAAUUAGAACUGAUCCGGUACUAUUUAUCCGGUUUGGUUCAGUUCUGUUUUAAUUAAAAAAAUUCAAAAACUAUCUGGUUCGGUUUGAACCGGUUUCGGUCCGAUUUCGAUUUCGGUUCAGUUUGAACCGGAUUAACAAAAUUAUUUUUUUAAAUUGUUUUUUAAUGCAAUUCUCAACUGAAAUAUUUUUUUUUUUACUUGAAAAUUAACAAAUUAUUCAAUUUCAUAUAAAAAAUAAAUAUUAAAGUUAGAAAAGAUAGAUAUUUUGAUAUUAAACUUGGAUAAAUAUUAGGUUUUUCUUAGUGAAAUUAAAAAUAUAGCAUUAAAUAUAAAUAUAUAUUGAAAUUAUAUAUUUUUUUAAUUUGACCGGUUCGGUUCGAUUUUUGAAGACAUGGAACCGGAUCCAAAACCGGUCCAAAUCGGUUCAGUUCGAUUUUUGACCAGUUGUUGACUUUUUGGUCAACUCGAUUUUUUCGGGUUUGGUUCAGUGCGGUUCGGCUCGGAUUUUUGGUUCGCCGAUUUAAGUGCCCACCCCUAAGUGGGGGCGUGCGAGAAUGUAAAAGUAAAAAGUCCCACAUUAGAAAAUUAGAAAACCUUGCAAGGGUUUAUAAGGAUUUAGAUUAAUUCCCCCGUUGCAAAUUGGUUUUAUGGUGAAAUCUCAACUUCCUUCAAAUAGGACAAGGAAGUGGAAAUAGUAGCACUCAAAAAAAAAAAAUGUACGGUUAUUUAGCCUUAAUAAUGGAUAAUUAGUCCUUUAUUAAUUUUUUGGAUAAACCAAUUAGAAUUUUGUCUAGUUGUAUUUUCAAAAAAAGAGAGAUUGACUAACAAAAAAAAAACACAUUAAGAGAAUGAGAUAAUAUUUCGGUUAGAUUUUACGAAAAUGAAAUUAUAUUAUUCUUUUCUUUUUUUUGUAUUUAUUAUUCAUUCUCUUGUAACCUUUCACAAUAUCAUGUCAAGUGCUAGCUAGUCACAUAAAGGAAUGUUGUGAGUGUGGGAAAGUAUUUGUAUACACCCAUUACAUUUUAUUUUUCUAAUUUCACAAAAGAAAAAAAACACAAGACUUCUCAACAAGCCUCAUGUAGGUGUGCGUGUGCGCACGCAAGCAUACAUACAUUGUCUAGUAGGGGCGCUCGUCCUCGGGCUGGUACAUGGGAUCGUAGCUGCAAACCACAUAGUUCUGUCCAUUGUUGCACUUUGAAAUGCCACAUCCAACCUCGGUGGUUUUGCCCCAUACCACAGCAAGGUAGUGACCACAUUCGUCUUUGACGCAUUUGUUGGACUUUUCGUCAUAGAACUCCUUCUCGGUGACCCAAUACUUGGUGGCAGCUGCGCCGCUCAUGCCGUCACCAGAGGCCAAGUUCUCACCCCAACGCCCCAUCGAGUGCUCCAUGGCGCAGUCGCCAACUCUUUUAUCCGCAUAUUCUUGGGCAUACUGGGCCAAGGUCGUGUUCCAAUUGAGGGGUUUGUUGCCGACCUCUUUACGAGCCUUGUUGUGCUCCUCGACGAAGCCAUCGAUCUCUUCUUUAGAAAUGUUUGCAAAGACAAGAGUGAAGACCAAUGCGACGCAGCAAAUGGCCAAAAGAAGCUUCGUGUUGAACGCCAUUUUUGUUUUUUGAUAUGAGAAGUUUAAGGUCUUUUCUUUGUAGUAGAGAAGGUUGGAUUGUUAGAUGUUGAUUGAAAGGGGGCAUGGGAUUGUGCAUAUUUAUAGAGACACAGGCAAGUUUGUGUCCGCAAAGAGGGUCUUCGAAAAUAGGCCCUUAAAAAUGGGAGGGCUGAAUAUUAGUUUUUUGGAUUCUAUAGAUUGCUGUAGAGGCGGGGCCAAAUAAAGAAAAGAAAGAAGAGAUCCAUAGAAAUUUGUGGUGUCACAUCUUUUGUGCUUGGAAUGCGUCCACACCAAGUUUUACUCACAAUAAGGAGGGAAGACAAUUUCUUUGGUGAGUUUCCUUUUUUUUUUCCCCUUAAAAAAGUAAGUUCUUCUUUUCUGUUCUUCUUUUCUUUUCUUCUUUCAGGUGAACUAUUUUUUUUUUUUUUUCUUGUUCUUUUUCUAAAGGAUAAGAUGGAAACAAGAAGUAACGAGGUAGAACAUUAUUGGGUGUCUUGAGUAAUAUGUCUUUUGUUUUUCCUUCAGUUGUGUCUGUUUUUCCUCAUGACUUAGUUGGC